GUCGAACGCACCUUUCGGGGUGAGUGGCAGACGGGUGAGUAACGCGUGGGAAUUUACCUCAAACUAUGGGAUAACACAGAGAAAUUUGUGCUAAUACCAUAUGUGUCCAUCAAGGGGACCUUGAUGGGGAAAGAUUUAUCGGUUUGAGAUAAGCCCGCGUUGGAUUAGCUAGUUGGUAGGGUAAAGGCCUACCAAGGCGACGAUCCAUAGCUGGUCUGAGAGGAUGAUCAGCCACACUGGGACUGAGACACGGCCCAGACUCCUACGGGAGGCAGCAGUGGGGAAUAUUGGACAAUGGGCGCAAGCCUGAUCCAGCCAUGCCGCGUGAGUGAUGAAGGCCUUAGGGUUGUAAAGCUCUUUCACCGG
Molecule: ribosomal RNA, 366 nt
Filed under: uncultured Alphaproteobacteria bacterium
Lineage: Bacteria; Pseudomonadati; Pseudomonadota; Alphaproteobacteria
Description: bacterial SSU rRNA
Rfam family: Bacterial small subunit ribosomal RNA
Source: RNAcentral